UACGAAGGGGGCUAGCGUUGCUCGGAAUCACUGGGCGUAAAGCGCACGUAGGCGGACUCUUAAGUCGGUGGUGAAAUCCUGGAGCUCAACUCCAGAACUGCCUUCGAUACUGGGAGUCUUGAGUUCGGGAGAGGUGAGUGGAACUGCGAGUGUAGAGGUGAAAUUCGUAGAUAUUCGCAAGAACACCAGUGGCGAAGGCGGCUCACUGGCCCGGUACUGACGCUGAGGCACGAAAGCGUGGGGAGCAAACAGG
This 253-nucleotide ribosomal RNA is filed under the name uncultured bacterium. Its description in RNAcentral is "partial 16S ribosomal RNA". It matches the Rfam family "Bacterial small subunit ribosomal RNA", at positions 524 to 776 of the family's 1533-position model. The record is from RNAcentral.